AAAAAGGUAAGCUAAGUUUAAGCUAAUGGGCUCAUACCCCAUAAAUAGGAUAA
This 53-nucleotide transfer RNA is filed under the name Conocephalus maculatus (maculated rice katydid). RNAcentral describes it as "partial tRNA-Met". Lineage: Eukaryota; Metazoa; Arthropoda; Insecta; Orthoptera; Tettigoniidae. The record is from RNAcentral.